This 636-nucleotide ribosomal RNA is filed under the name uncultured bacterium. Its description in RNAcentral is "bacterial SSU rRNA". It matches the Rfam family "Bacterial small subunit ribosomal RNA", at positions 171 to 823 of the family's 1533-position model. The record is from RNAcentral.
GCAUAAGCGCACAGCUUCGCAUGAAGCAGUGUGAAAAACUCUGGUGGUAUACGAUGGAUCCGCGUCUGAUUAGCUAGUUGGCGGGGUAAAGGCCCACCAAGGCGACGAUCAGUAGCCGGCCUGAGAGGGUGAACGGCCACAUUGGGACUGAGACACGGCCCAAACUCCUACGGGAGGCAGCAGUGGGGAAUAUUGCACAAUGGGGGAAACCCUGAUGCAGCGACGCCGCGUGAGUGAAGAAGUAUUUCGGUAUGUAAAGCUCUAUCAGCAGGGAAGAAAGAAAUGACGGUACCUGACUAAGAAGCCCCGGCUAACUACGUGCCAGCAGCCGCGGUAAUACGUAGGGGGCAAGCGUUAUCCGGAUUUACUGGGUGUAAAGGGAGCGUAGACGGCGAUGCAAGUCUGAAGUGAAAGGCGGGGGCCCAACCCCCGGACUGCUUUGGAAACUGUAUGGCUGGAGUGCAGGAGAGGUAAGUGGAAUUCCUAGUGUAGCGGUGAAAUGCGUAGAUAUUAGGAGGAACACCAGUGGCGAAGGCGGCUUACUGGACUGUAACUGACGUUGAGGCUCGAAAGCGUGGGAGCAAACAGGAUUAGAUACCCUGGUAGUCCACGCCGUAAACGAUGAUCACCAGGUGU